Molecule: ribosomal RNA, 224 nt
Filed under: Mytilus galloprovincialis (Mediterranean mussel)
Lineage: Eukaryota; Metazoa; Mollusca; Bivalvia; Mytilida; Mytilidae
Description: partial large subunit ribosomal RNA
Rfam family: Bacterial large subunit ribosomal RNA (bases 131-224)
Source: RNAcentral
GCUUUAUCUUAAUUGGAGCUCUCAGGCUCUUAUACGAUUUUGAUGGGAGAUCAGUAGAAAUAAGUCUUCUACUAUCAUAUUAAUCUUACUAGUACUUCCUAACUUUAUAUGUGUGGCUAGCUACUCUAGGGAUAACAGCGCAAUUUCUCCCGAAAGAUGGUAUUGGAGGGGAAGAUUGCGACCUCGAUGUUGGCUUUAGAUAUCCUAGAGGCGUAGAAGCUUCU